UGGCCAAAAAGUUCAUUCGGGUUUUUCAUAAGAUGUGUGGAAUAACCCAAACAAACUUUUUGACCAA
This 67-nucleotide microRNA precursor is filed under the name Tursiops truncatus (common bottlenose dolphin). RNAcentral's name for it is "miRNA (ENSTTRG00000025270.1)". Lineage: Eukaryota; Metazoa; Chordata; Mammalia; Artiodactyla; Delphinidae. The record is from RNAcentral.